AGUUUGAUCAUGGCUCAGAAUGAACGUUGGCGGCGUGGAUUAGGCAUGCAAGUCGAGCGAGAACCGUAGCAAUACGGGGACAGCGGCGAAAGGGACAGUAAUGUGUAGAUCAUCUGCCCUCGGGAUCGGGAUAGCUGCGGGAAACUGCAGGUAAUACCGAAUAACAUCUCCGGAUCAAAUGGUGUGAUUCCGCCUGAGGAUGAGUCUACAUCCUAUUAGCUAGUUGGUGGGGUAACGGCCUACCAAGGCUUUGAUGGGUAGCGGGUGUGAGAGCACGACCCGCGUCACUGGGACUGAGACACUGCCCAGACACCUACGGGUGGCUGCAGUCGAGAAUCUUCGGCAAUGGACGCAAGUCUGACCGAGCGACGCCGCGUGCGGGAUGAAGGCCUUCGGGUUGUAAACCGCUGUCAGAGGGGAGGAAAUUACGGUGGGUUCUCCCACCGCAUUGACCUAGCCUCAGAGGAAGUACGGGCUAAGUUCGUGCCAGCAGCCGCGGUAAGACGAACCGUACAAACGUUAUUCGGAAUCACUGGGCUUAAAGGGUGCGUAGGCGGCGCGGAAAGUAGGGUGUGAAAUCCCUCGGCUCAACCGAGGAAUUGCGCCCUAAACUACCGUGCUCGAGGGAGAUAGAGGUGAGCGGAACUUAGGGUGGAGCGGUGAAAUGCGUUGAUAUCCUAAGGAACACCGGUG
This 693-nucleotide ribosomal RNA is filed under the name uncultured bacterium. Its description in RNAcentral is "bacterial SSU rRNA". It matches the Rfam family "Bacterial small subunit ribosomal RNA", at positions 10 to 714 of the family's 1533-position model. The record is from RNAcentral.